Molecule: long non-coding RNA, 1065 nt
Organism: Mastomys coucha (southern multimammate mouse)
Lineage: Eukaryota; Metazoa; Chordata; Mammalia; Rodentia; Muridae
Exons: 4
Source: RefSeq, a predicted model, not a curated record
GUAGGCAUGGAAGGAGGAGGAGGAAGAAAGAAGAAAAUUAAAUAACAAAAGGAAAAAUGGGAGGAAAAAUAAAGUGGGAAGAUUGGAUCCUUUGCAAUAUGCUGAACCUAGAAUGGUUACAGGCAUGCAAAGAGAAGGCUCAAAGAUGCCCUGUAUGAUUGGUAAAACUACUAAUAUUACAGUAAAAGUACGAGCAGAAAUUAAUCAAGAGGAGGAAGCCUCUCUGAUGAUGGCUGAGCAAGGCACCCAUCUUGCUAUGUAGAACCCGUCUGGUUUGUACAGGAUCGUCUUAGACCUAAAGAAACCAUGGAUUGGGUAUAAAUUGGGCCAACCUUGUGAACCUUCUCUAGCCCUUUCCAGAGAACUACAGAUAUCUGGUCAUCGAUACACUCCUGGGGUAGAUCCUAAACCGAGGCAGAGAAACAAGGAGAGAUACAGUGCUGUUCAAGUGCCUUCCCACACAGUAUCCCUUCCCACAGCAGCGUCACUCUCCUCCAGAAGCCAUGAAUCAUUUCCGCUGCUUCCCACCUGAGGGAGGGGACGAGCUCUUCCAGGAAGCUGGAACCAGCAUUCCUGCUCCCAUGCAGUGAACACAAAUCCUCUGGGUCACAAGGUGUCUCCUGGCCUGACUCACACCAGAUCCCAUCUGUCUGCAUCCUCUAAGGAACAGCACAGAACUGAGCUUUUCAUAACUGCUUAAGUGUGCACUCUUAGUCCCUGGCAGUCCUCACCAUGAACCUGUGCAUGUAUUGUUUCCAUUUUCAGACACAGUGAAUUAAAGGCUCCUAAGGAACACUAUAGAUGGCAGAAGGAGUUUUGCACUUGACAUUGUCUGCUUCCAAAUGUGAACGUUGAAUGACUAUCUUUUAUUAUUGGGAGGGAGGCCUCCAUCCUGUGAAACUUCUUCCUAAUUAAUAGACUGGACGUUUACAUAGAGCAGAAACCCUCAUAAACGUUUAAUUGGGCACGUGUGGAGAACUUAGAAGAAACAUUGUGUUUUCAGAAGCCUUGGCAAGGAGAAGUGAACGAGGUCAGGAAGGGAAUAAAAGCAUUGUCCCACUUUAC